This 483-nucleotide ribosomal RNA is filed under the name uncultured bacterium. Its description in RNAcentral is "partial 16S ribosomal RNA". It matches the Rfam family "Bacterial small subunit ribosomal RNA", at positions 30 to 507 of the family's 1533-position model. The record is from RNAcentral.
UUGAACGCUGGCGGCAGGCCUAACACAUGCAAGUCGAGCGGAUGAAGGGAGCUUGCUCCUGGAUUCAGCGGCGGACGGGUGAGUAAUGCCUAGGAAUCUGCCUGGUAGUGGGGGAUAACGUCCGGAAACGGGCGCUAAUACCGCAUACGUCCUGAGGGAGAAAGUGGGGGAUCUUCGGACCUCACGCUAUCAGAUGAGCCUAGGUCGGAUUAGCUAGUUGGUGGGGUAAAGGCCUACCAAGGCGACGAUCCGUAACUGGUCUGAGAGGAUGAUCAGUCACACUGGAACUGAGACACGGUCCAGACUCCUACGGGAGGCAGCAGUGGGGAAUGUUGGACAAUGGGCGAAAGCCUGAUCCAGCCAUGCCGCGUGUGUGAAGAAGGUCUUCGGAUUGUAAAGCACUUUAAGUUGGGAGGAAGGGCAGUAAGUUAAUACCUUGCUGUUUUGACGUUACCAACAGAAUAAGCACCGGCUAACUUCGUG